GACGAACGCUGGCGGCGUGCCUAACACAUGCAAGUCAACUUGACUGAAGGAGCAAUCUGACAGUAGAGUGGCGCAAGGGUGCGUAACGCGUAAGUAACUUGCCCCAAGGUAAGGAAUAACGUCGAGAAAUCGGCGCUAAUACCUCAUAAUGCAGCGGAUCCGCAUGGAUAUGUUGUUAAAGGUUUACCGCCUUGGGAUAGGCUUGCGUCUGAUUAGCUAGUUGGUGUGGUAAACGGCACACCAAGGCUACGAUCAGUAACUGGUCUGAGAGGAUGAUCGGUCACACUGGAACUGAGACACGGUCCAGACUCCUACGGGAGGCAGCAGUGAGGAAUAUUGGGCAAUGCUCGAAAGAGUGACCCAGCAACGCCGCGUGGAGGAUGAAGGUAUUCUAUAUCGUAAACUCCUGUGAGAGCGAGACGAAAGACAGAUUAUUAAUACUGAGUGACUGUAUGCUC
RNAcentral lists this ribosomal RNA (458 nucleotides) under uncultured bacterium. Its description in RNAcentral is "bacterial SSU rRNA". It matches the Rfam family "Bacterial small subunit ribosomal RNA", at positions 28 to 482 of the family's 1533-position model. The record is from RNAcentral.